AACGAACGCUGGCGGCAUGCCUAACACAUGCAAGUCGAACGAGACCUUCGGGUCUAGUGGCGCACGGGUGCGUAACGCGUGGGAACCUGCCCUUAGGUUCGGAAUAACUCCCCGAAAGGGGUGCUAAUACCGGAUAAUGUCUUCGGACCAAAGAUUUAUCGCCUUUGGAUGGGCCCGCGUUGGAUUAGCUAGUUGGUAGGGUAAAAGCCUACCAAGGCGACGAUCCAUAGCUGGUCUGAGAGGAUGAUCAGCCACACUGGGACUGAGACACGGCCCAGACUCCUACGGGAGGGAGCAGUGGGGAAUAUUGGACUAUGGGCGAAAGCCUGAUCCAGCAAUGCCGCGUGAGUGAUGAAGGCCUUAGGGUUGUAAAGCUCUUUUACCCGGGAUGAUAAUGACAGUACCGGGAGAAUAAGCACCGGCUAACUCCGUG
This 433-nucleotide ribosomal RNA is filed under the name uncultured bacterium. RNAcentral's name for it is "partial 16S ribosomal RNA". It matches the Rfam family "Bacterial small subunit ribosomal RNA", at positions 29 to 507 of the family's 1533-position model. The record is from RNAcentral.